Molecule: transfer RNA, 71 nt
Filed under: Ictidomys tridecemlineatus (thirteen-lined ground squirrel)
Lineage: Eukaryota; Metazoa; Chordata; Mammalia; Rodentia; Sciuridae
Description: Spermophilus tridecemlineatus (thirteen-lined ground squirrel) tRNA
Rfam family: tRNA
About the family: Transfer RNA (tRNA) molecules are approximately 80 nucleotides in length. Their secondary structure includes four short double-helical elements and three loops (D, anti-codon, and T loops). Further hydrogen bonds mediate the characteristic L-shaped molecular structure. tRNAs have two regions of fundamental functional importance: the anti-codon, which is responsible for specific mRNA codon recognition, and the 3' end, to which the tRNAs corresponding amino acid is attached (by aminoacyl-tRNA synthetases). tRNAs cope with the degeneracy of the genetic code in two manners: having more than one tRNA (with a specific anti-codon) for a particular amino acid; and 'wobble' base-pairing, i.e. permitting non-standard base-pairing at the 3rd anti-codon position.
Source: Rfam by way of RNAcentral
GGGAUUAUAGCUCAGUGGUAGAGCACUUGCCUAGCAUGUGUGAGACACUGGGUUCAAACCUCAGAAUCUCA